RNAcentral lists this transfer RNA (75 nucleotides) under Caldifarciminota bacterium JGI_Cruoil_03_51_56. RNAcentral's name for it is "tRNA-Pro". It matches the Rfam family "tRNA". From Rfam's summary of the family: Transfer RNA (tRNA) molecules are approximately 80 nucleotides in length. Their secondary structure includes four short double-helical elements and three loops (D, anti-codon, and T loops). The record is from RNAcentral. Lineage: Bacteria; Pseudomonadati; Caldifarciminota.
CGGGGCGUAGCGCAGUUGGUUUAGCGCGCUUGGUUCGGGACCAAGAGGUCGCUGGUUCGAAUCCAGUCGCCCCGA